UAAUACCGGAUAACAACAGAUGAUGCCUAUCAACUGUUUAAAAGAAUAGGUUCUGCUAUCACUCUUGGAUGGACCUCGCGGUGCAUUAGCUAGUUGGUAGGGUAACGGCCUACCAAGGCGAUGAUGCAUAGCCGAGUUGAGAGACUGAUCGGCCACAUUGGGACUGAGACACGGCCCAAACUCCUACGGGAGGCAGCAGC
This 200-nucleotide ribosomal RNA is filed under the name uncultured Lactobacillus sp. RNAcentral describes it as "partial 16S ribosomal RNA". It matches the Rfam family "Bacterial small subunit ribosomal RNA", at positions 164 to 355 of the family's 1533-position model. The record is from RNAcentral. Lineage: Bacteria; Bacillati; Bacillota; Bacilli; Lactobacillales; Lactobacillaceae.